ACGCGAAAGCUCCCUUCGGGGAGCAAGUAGAGUGGCGCACGGGUGAGUAACACGUAGGUAAUCUACCUUUGGAUGGGGAAUAACAACCGGAAACGGUUGCCAAUACCGCAUAAUGCAGCGGCACCUAAUGGUGACAGUUGUUAAAGCGGGGGAUCGCAAGACCUCGCGUCUGAAGAGGAGCCUGCGGCAGAUUAGCUAGUUGGUAAGGUAACGGCUUACCAAGGCGAUGAUCUGUAGCCGGCCUGAGAGGGCGGUCGGCCACACUGACACUGACAUACGGGUCAGACUCCUACGGGAGGCAGCAGUCGGGAAUUUUGGGCAAUGGGCGAAAGCCUGACCCAGCAACGCCGCGUGAAGGAUGAAAUCCCUCGGGAUGUAAACUUCGCAAGAACGGGAAGAAUAAGUCGGUGUAAAUACCACCGACGAUGACGGUACUGUUUGUAAGCUCCGGCUAACUCCGUGCCAGCAGCCGCGGUAAUACGGGGGGAGCAAGCGUUG
Molecule: ribosomal RNA, 498 nt
Filed under: uncultured bacterium
Lineage: Bacteria
Description: bacterial SSU rRNA
Rfam family: Bacterial small subunit ribosomal RNA
Source: RNAcentral